Molecule: ribosomal RNA, 48 nt
Filed under: Heterotruncatella restionacearum
Lineage: Eukaryota; Fungi; Ascomycota; Sordariomycetes; Amphisphaeriales; Sporocadaceae
Description: partial 28S ribosomal RNA
Source: RNAcentral
UUGACCUCGGAUCAGGUAGGAAUACCCGCUGAACUUAAGCAUAUCAUU